This 253-nucleotide ribosomal RNA is filed under the name uncultured bacterium. RNAcentral describes it as "partial 16S ribosomal RNA". It matches the Rfam family "Bacterial small subunit ribosomal RNA", at positions 524 to 776 of the family's 1533-position model. The record is from RNAcentral.
GACGUAGGGGGCAAGCGUUGUCCGGAAUCAUUGGGCGUAAAGCGCGCGUAGGCCGCUAGAUCAGUCUGCUGUAAAAGUCAAAGGCUCAACCUUUGAAAGCCGGUGGAUACUGUCUAGCUAGAGUCCGGAAGAGGCGAGUGGAAUUCCUGGUGUAGCGGUGGAAUGCGCAGAUAUCAGGAGGAACACCAACGGCGAAGGCAGCAUCCUGGACCGGUAUUGACGCUGAGGCGCGAAAGCUAGGGGAGCAAACGGG